CCUUACCGGAGCCGAGGGACGGUUGGUGUUUGCGCCAACGGUCUGGGGACACGUGCCACGCCCGCUCCUGGGGAUCACCGACCAGGGACUAAACCCUGGCUCCCCACAGUGAAAGUCUUAACCAGCGGACCACCAAGGAAUUCCCGAUGGUACUCAGUUUUAAUCAUCCUAUCUCAUACAAGAUGCCUGGAGCUACAGCAACAAUCUUGUGAUCAUGAAACAUCGAACAUGAAGACAAAUGUCUAAUAAAUUAGUGCAGCAUAAACCAUAAAGUCUGGUUUGUUGACAGCAUCAUUGGCAGAUGUUAGCAACUCCUGUCUCACCUGAUUUUGUGUGGAAAAACAAACCCUUAUCUUAAAACCCAAAU
Molecule: long non-coding RNA, 367 nt
Organism: Cervus elaphus (red deer)
Lineage: Eukaryota; Metazoa; Chordata; Mammalia; Artiodactyla; Cervidae
Exons: 3
Source: RefSeq, a predicted model, not a curated record